CCUGACAAUAAUGGACUAAACCUCUGAACUUAUGCUUGUUUCCCUGGGGAGAUAUGUACAAAAACCAUGUUUGCCCCAGAUUGGACACCAACGACAGAACAAAAUAAGGAUUUCACUGAAGUCCAGUUUUUCAGCCAGUGGCCAGGGCCUAUCUCGCCCACACUGGCUCUGCCUCUCCAGAGCUCCAAAAUUGGGCUCUUCUCCCAGCUCGUCAAGUUCCUGUGGCUGACCAUUGCCACCUCUGCCCCUGUGCUUCCAUAUUCCUGCAGCUGACUGGGGUAUACUCUCGCACACCAUGCUCUGCUGCUUGCUGUACCUUUCUCUGGAACCCAGGUGAGUUCCGCGUGAAGAAAAACACCACACAAUCUUAGUUUAGAAUCAGUAGGUAACACAAUCUCUGGGUGCAGAACCUAGCAUCCUAAUUCUACAAACUGAUCUAUAUUAAAUCCUCAAAUGGUGGAUCCUGGUGGAUCUGCCACUCAAAUCAACAGCCUCUGGUUUCCUAUAUUCUGUCUG
Mus musculus (house mouse) is the source of this 516-nucleotide long non-coding RNA. RefSeq annotates it as predicted gene, 38827. The record is from RefSeq and is a predicted model, not a curated record. NCBI's taxonomy places the organism in Eukaryota, Metazoa, Chordata, Mammalia, Rodentia, Muridae. The transcript is spliced from 3 exons.